AUGAGAGGGAGGCAGAUUACGGCCGAGCAGCAGUAAUCCUGCCAAAACCCGCCCUGACGUCCAACAGCUCUUAACCUGUCUGAUGCCUUGGGCUAAGGGAGAGGGCUGCCCGCGGGUGCCAGCCACCAGCAGCUCUGCCUGAUUCACCUUCCAAGGGCAGCUCUGCCAACAAUAUUUCCAGGGUGCUGCAGGCUCGGAGCAACGAAGCAAAUGAAGCGUUGUGGUCUUACUGCAAGGCAUCGCCUCCCUGCACGUCCAGGGGGACACGGUGUCACCCCCUGUGGGGACUUUUCAUGGGGUAACGGGGACUAGAGGUGGGAGCAGGAGGAAUUGGUGGCAUCUGACACAUCGAUGGCAGAGCUUAUUGACAACCUUUUCUAUAAAUUUUCCCUAUAAGUAUCUCCUGAAAUGGGAAGUUUAUAGCAACCAGGAUUAAGCAGAUAAAACCGAGGUCUGGGAAGGGGAAUUGCUUGGUUGGAGCUGAGAUCAGGUCUGGUUNNNNNNNNNNNNNNNNNNNNNNNNNNNNNNNNNNNNNNNNNNNNNNNNNNNNNNNNNNNNNNNNNNNNNNNNNNNNNNNNNNNNNNNNNNNNNGUUUUGUCACAGGGGCUGGGACUGUCUGCAUCUCCUCAGUGCCUUUCACAGGUUUUAAAAUAAGGCAAAGUAUUGAUAAGGCAGCUAUAAAAACAGGAUUCCCCCAGUGAGGCAGGAAGCUCAAACUCUUUUUUAUCUGCAGGUUUAGAAGCUAUUUCUGAGAGCGUAGCACAAAGUGAGUUGGCCUCAGAGAAAAGAACUUUUUUUUUUUUUUAACUGUUACAUUGUCUUUCAAAUACACUUUGUCUUCCCAUAAGAUGGGAUCAAAGGGACGUGGUGAGCUAAGUGCCUGCAAUGGUCGAGUUUAGGUAGGCUGAAAGUUUUCUUUCCUCAUUAUUUCAGUGGAAGUCCUCAAAGGAAUCUCAGGGAAAGCAAGAGGAAGCCUACGUCAACCCUCAAAGCUUGACAGAAGCAAACGCGACAGAGCAUGCAUUGAUUUCUUAGAGAAACAAAGAAGAAACCAGGCUGUUCACAGAAAAUCUCCCUCUUCGGAACCAGCCUCAAAAUUUAGCUUCAGAAGCAGUUGCAGCUUCCCCUGCCGCAGCAGACGUACAGAGCUGAUGUCCGUGCACAACCAGAGAAAGAGACAGAGGAUCACAGGACCAUGCCCUGGAGGUGACAUUUGCAGGAGAGGAGGGAAAGACAUCAGAGGGGCUCUGUGGGGAAUGUCUGUGUAGAUGGAGCGUGUUCUCACUCUGAUAUCCGGCAUUUAGAAACACUAUUCCAAAGACAGCAUGUACGGAAAUACAAGAGAGAAAAACCAGCCUCAAGCUUAAACUUUUUAGAAAGAGAGGUCAGAGGUGACUUGCUCAGAGUUGAAAUGGGGAAGAGAUUUUUGAGCACAAAGCCAGCACUAACUGACCAGAUGUAAUAUUUAGUGACUGGAAGCUGCAGACAGAUUUCUGGUGAAAUGAAAAAAGUAAGCUCAUCAGUGAGGAUAACUUAAAACUUAUCUGAAGAUGCAGGGAGUCUUGGAAGCUUUACACUGAGAUGUUCAUGAGUUCAACUAUGAGACAUUGGCUGGUCAUGGGUGUUCUGGGUGAAUUUCCCUCAUUCAUGAUCUGCAGUUUGGGGUAGAUGAUGGCAACAGUUCCUUCCUACCUUCAAGUCCUGUGUUGCUAUUGUUUGUAAUGAAACUACUCUGUGGAGUGAUCUUCUAGUCUCCAUGGCUCUCAGCAGAGCAUUUCUGCCAAAGAGGGAAUGUACUUUGAAUACACACUGAAGAACAAUGAAGGUGUCUUGUUGGCAGUGUCUGCUAUAUUAGUCUUUGAUAAGGGAUGCAGAUACCUUACAUUAUUUAGAUGAAAAGGGCCACUUAGUUUGUCUGAAUGUCAGAUCUCCUGGGUGAGAGCAACCAAUUUAUUUAUAAGAAGAACUGCACUUUGUGUGUCUGGAGGGAAUAUUGAUUAAAGGAAAGGUUGGAAAGGAGAUGCAGGAUAGGACAGGCUGGGAGAUGACCGACAGAUUAACACAGGUUAAUUCUGAAAGGGAGAAAAUGAUUCUUUCCAAAUAGCGAGCAGGGAUGGAGGAAACCAGAGAAAGCCUUCAGAGCUUUUAGAUGUGUCAUUUGUAUCCCAGACAUGUUGGGAUUUUCCUUCAGAGAUGCAACACUCUUGACCGAUGAAUGGCCCCAGAGUCGUGAGGAGCUGAGAUGGUAACAUUGCCAUCGGUGUUGCU
Anser cygnoides (Swan goose) is the source of this 2268-nucleotide long non-coding RNA. The record is from Ensembl. Lineage: Eukaryota; Metazoa; Chordata; Aves; Anseriformes; Anatidae.